ACAUCAAGAUCCUCCUGAAUGCUGGUGCUGAAAUCAACUCCAGAUACGACAGUUUAUCAACCUCUGAAACACACAACCAUCCCUGACUAGAAGUACAUUGGGUAUCUCUCUGCUGAUGCUGGCUGCCAUGAAUGGUCACGUCCUUGUGGUCAAGCUGCUGCUGGACAUGGGCUCAGACAUCCACACUCCCAUCGAGACCAAGCGCAACGCAGCACUGACCCGGGACUGCCAACAUGGAGCACCGCUCCAAGACAGGUCUGACUCCUCUCAUGGAGGCUGCAUCGGGUGGCUAAGCUGUGUGUGACAUGGCGUCUCAACAGACCAUCCUAAGUGGUGAACU
Molecule: long non-coding RNA, 340 nt
Organism: Salvelinus sp. IW2-2015
Lineage: Eukaryota; Metazoa; Chordata; Actinopteri; Salmoniformes; Salmonidae
Source: RefSeq, a predicted model, not a curated record